UGGGGAAUAUUGCAGCAAUGGGCGAAAGCCUGAUGCAGCAACGCCGCGUGAGUGAUGAAGGCCUUCGGGUUGUAAAGCUCUGCCUUUUGGGACGAUAAUGACGGUACCAAAGGAGGAAGCCACGGCUAACUACGUGCCAGCAGCCGCGGUAAUACGUAGGUGGCAAGCGUUGUCCGGAUUUACUGGGCGUAAAGGAUGCGUAGGCGGAUUUUUAAGUGAGAUGUGAAAUACCCGGGCUUAACUUGGGUGCUGCAUUUCAAACUGGGAAUCUAGAGUGCGGGAGAGGAGAAUGGAAUUCCUAGUGUAGCGGUGAAAAUGCGUAGAGAUUAGGAAGAACACCAGUGGCGAAAGGCGAUUCUCUGGACCGUAAACUGACGCUGAGGCAUGAAAAGCGUGGGGUAGCAAAAACAGGGAUUAGAUACCCUGGUAGUCCACGCCGUAAACGAAUGAGUACU
Molecule: ribosomal RNA, 455 nt
Filed under: uncultured bacterium
Lineage: Bacteria
Description: partial 16S ribosomal RNA
Rfam family: Bacterial small subunit ribosomal RNA
Source: RNAcentral